RNAcentral lists this ribosomal RNA (253 nucleotides) under uncultured bacterium. RNAcentral's name for it is "partial 16S ribosomal RNA". It matches the Rfam family "Bacterial small subunit ribosomal RNA", at positions 524 to 776 of the family's 1533-position model. The record is from RNAcentral.
UACGUAGGGUGCGAGCGUUAAUCGGAAUUACUGGGCGUAAAGCGUGCGCAGGCGGUUUUGUAAGCCAGAUGUGAAAUCCCCGGGCUUAACCUGGGAACUGCAUUUGUGACUGGCGGGCUAGAGUAUGGCAGAGGGGGGUAGAAUUCCACGUGUAGCAGUGAAAUGCGUAGAGAUGUGGAGGAAUACCGAUGGCGAAGGCAGCCCCCUGGGCCAAUACUGACGCUCAUGCACGAAAGCGUGGGGAGCAAACAGG